UUGUAAUUAAAAGAUUUACUGAUGAGCUGC
Molecule: non-coding RNA, 30 nt
Filed under: Rattus norvegicus (Norway rat)
Lineage: Eukaryota; Metazoa; Chordata; Mammalia; Rodentia; Muridae
Source: RNAcentral